AGAGUUUGAUCAUGGCUCAGAACGAACGCUGGCGGCGUGGAUAAGACAUGCAAGUCGAACGCUGAUUUCAGGGUAGCAAUAUUCUGAAGUUGGAGUGGCGCAAGGGUGCGUAACACGUGGGUAAUUUGCCGUGAAGCCCGGAAUAACUCGCUGAAAGGCGAGCUAAUACCGGAUGUGAUUUUUGGAGGGCAUCCUCUGGAACUCAAAGCUGGGGACCGUAAGGCCUGGCACUUCUCGAUAAGCCCGCGGCCUAUCAGCUAGUUGGUGAGGUAAUGGCUCACCAAGGCUAAGACGGGUAGCUGGUCUGAGAGGACGACCAGCCACACUGGAACUGAGACACGGUCCAGACACCUACGGGUGGCAGCAGUCGAGAAUUUUUCACAAUGGGCGAAAGCCUGAUGGAGCGACGCCGCGUGGGGGAUGAAUGGCUUCGGCCCGUAAACCCCUGUCAUUUGCGAACAAACCUUAUCAUUUAAAAGAUGAUGAGCUGAUUGUAGCGAAAGAGGAAGGGACGGCUAACUCUGUGCCAGCAGCCGCGGUAAUACAGAGGUCCCAAGCGUUGUUCGGAUUCACUGGGCGUAAAGGGUGCGUAGGUGGCCGGUUAAGUCUGACGUGAAAUCUCCGAGCCUAACUCGGAAACUGCGUCGGAAACUAUCCGGCUCGAGGGUUGGAGGGGGGACUGGAAUACUUGGUGUAGCAGUGAAAUGCGUAGAUAUCAAGUGGAACACCAGUGGCGAAGGCGAGUCCCUGGACAACUCCUGACACUGAGGCACGAAAGCUAGGGGAGCAAACAGGAUUAGAUACCCUAGUAGUCC
RNAcentral lists this ribosomal RNA (815 nucleotides) under uncultured bacterium. RNAcentral's name for it is "bacterial SSU rRNA". It matches the Rfam family "Bacterial small subunit ribosomal RNA", at positions 8 to 796 of the family's 1533-position model. The record is from RNAcentral.